This 468-nucleotide ribosomal RNA is filed under the name uncultured bacterium. RNAcentral describes it as "partial 16S ribosomal RNA". It matches the Rfam family "Bacterial small subunit ribosomal RNA", at positions 28 to 507 of the family's 1533-position model. The record is from RNAcentral.
GACGAACGCUGGCGGCGUGCUUAACACAUGCAAGUCGAACGGAAAGGCCCUGCUUUUGUUGGGUGCUCGAGUAGCGAACGGGUGAGUAACACGUGAGUAACCUGCCCUUGACUUUGGGAUAACUUCGGGAAACUGGGGCUAAUACCAGAUAGGAGCUCCUGCUGCUUGGUGUGGGUUGGAAAGUUUCGGCGGUUGGGGAUGGACUCGCGGCUUAUCAGCUUGUUGGUGGGGUAGUGGCUUACCAAGGCUUUGACGGGUAGCCGGCCUGAGAGGGUGACCGGCCACAUUGGGACUGAGAUACGGCCCAGACUCCUACGGGAGGCAGCAGUGGGGAAUAUUGCACAAUGGGCGGAAGCCUGAUGCAGCAACGCCGCGUGCGGGAUGACGGCCGUCGGGUUGUAAACCGCUUUCGCCUGUGACGAAGCGUGAGUGACGGUAAUGGGUAAAGAAGCACCGGCUAACUACGUG